RNAcentral lists this transfer RNA (96 nucleotides) under Collimonas arenae. Its description in RNAcentral is "tRNA-SeC (TCA) (tRNA-SeC-TCA-1-1)". It matches the Rfam family "Selenocysteine transfer RNA". Lineage: Bacteria; Pseudomonadati; Pseudomonadota; Betaproteobacteria; Burkholderiales; Oxalobacteraceae. The record is from RNAcentral.
GGAAGGCACACGUAUCCGGUGAUGCGGCCGGGCUUCAAACCCGGUGGGGGGUGCCAGUCACUCCCGGGUAGGUUCGACUCCUGCUGUCUUCCGCCA